GGGGAUUUAGCUCAGUGGUAGAGCGCUUGCCUAGCAGGCACAAGGCCCUGGGUUCGGUCCCCAGCUCCG
Rattus norvegicus (Norway rat) is the source of this 69-nucleotide non-coding RNA. The record is from Rfam. Lineage: Eukaryota; Metazoa; Chordata; Mammalia; Rodentia; Muridae.